GACCGCGUAGCUCAGUUGGCAAAACAUUGGACUAGUAUUCCAAAGGUUGUAGGUUCGAUUCCCACCGUGGCG
RNAcentral lists this transfer RNA (72 nucleotides) under Paramuricea clavata. RNAcentral's name for it is "tRNA-Thr". It matches the Rfam family "tRNA". From Rfam's summary of the family: Transfer RNA (tRNA) molecules are approximately 80 nucleotides in length. Their secondary structure includes four short double-helical elements and three loops (D, anti-codon, and T loops). Further hydrogen bonds mediate the characteristic L-shaped molecular structure. tRNAs have two regions of fundamental functional importance: the anti-codon, which is responsible for specific mRNA codon recognition, and the 3' end, to which the tRNAs corresponding amino acid is attached (by aminoacyl-tRNA synthetases). tRNAs cope with the degeneracy of the genetic code in two manners: having more than one tRNA (with a specific anti-codon) for a particular amino acid; and 'wobble' base-pairing, i.e. permitting non-standard base-pairing at the 3rd anti-codon position. The record is from RNAcentral. Lineage: Eukaryota; Metazoa; Cnidaria; Anthozoa; Malacalcyonacea; Plexauridae.